CGCCUCCUGCCCCGUAUAGGAGGACCUGUCUGCCCAGUGACUCUGUUCAACGGCCGCGGUAUUUUAACCGUGCGAAGGUAGCGUAAUCACCUGUUUUUUAAAUAAAGACCUGUAUGAAAGACCCCACGAGAAUCGCACUGUCUCCUCUCCCCCAAUCAGCGAAACUAAUCUCCUCGUGAAAAAGCGAGAAUUCUAAUACAAGACGAGAAGACCCUGUGGAGCUUUAAAUGAACACAUCAACUAUAUAAACCUUAUUUUAUGAUGUUAAUUUUCGGCUGGGGCGACCUUAGAGCACAAAAAACCCUCCUAGAUGACACGGAGUCACUCCUAAACACAAAACCACAAUUUUAUGUAUCAACAAACUGACAGUAUUGACCCAUAUAGAUCAACGAACCAAGUUACCCCAGGGAUAACAGCGCAAUCUGCCCCAAGAGUUCAUAUCAACAGGCAGGCUUACGACCUCGAUGUUGGAUCAAGGUGUCCAAGUGGUGCAGCCGCUACUUAUGGUUCGUUUGUUCAACGAUUAAAACCUA
This 533-nucleotide ribosomal RNA is filed under the name Phyzelaphryne sp. PS-2017. RNAcentral's name for it is "partial large subunit ribosomal RNA". It matches the Rfam family "Bacterial large subunit ribosomal RNA", at positions 1831 to 2597 of the family's 2925-position model. Lineage: Eukaryota; Metazoa; Chordata; Amphibia; Anura; Eleutherodactylidae. The record is from RNAcentral.